CCCUUAGAUGUUCUGGGCCGCACGCGUGCUACACUGAGUGGAUCAGCGGGUCAGGUUGCGCGAAAGUGUUUCCUAAUCUUGAAAUCCGCUCGUGAUGGGGAUUGACGGUUGCAAUUUUCCGUCAUGAACGAGGAAUACCUUGUAAGCGCGGGUCAUCAUCCCGCGCUGAAUACGUCCCUGCCCUUUGUACACACCGCCCGUCGCUCCUACCGAUUGAGUGGUCCAGUGAGGCUUUGGGAUCUGAGCGGAAAGAGCGUUUCGCUGUUUCUGCUCGGAAAACUCAGUCGAACCUUAUCAUUUAGAGGAAGGAGGAGUCGUAACA
Molecule: ribosomal RNA, 322 nt
Filed under: uncultured eukaryote
Lineage: Eukaryota
Description: partial 18S ribosomal RNA
Rfam family: Eukaryotic small subunit ribosomal RNA
Source: RNAcentral